Hippocampus comes (tiger tail seahorse) is the source of this 570-nucleotide long non-coding RNA. RefSeq lists it as uncharacterized. NCBI's taxonomy places the organism in Eukaryota, Metazoa, Chordata, Actinopteri, Syngnathiformes, Syngnathidae. The transcript is spliced from 5 exons. The record is from RefSeq and is a predicted model, not a curated record.
AGCUGACGCCGACCACGCUGCAGUUGUAGCUGGACGACGGCAUCAGGCCGGAAACGGUCAGCACGUGCGAGCUGGACACCUGAGGCUCUCGAGUCUGAAGCGGACCAAGAAGGAGCAGCACCUGGUAGUGGUCCACGACGCCGUCCUCGCUCCACAACAGAGUCACCGACGAGUGCGUGGCGUUGACGGCGUACACGGACCUGGGGGGCGCCGGUUCUGCGGGUGAAAACACGCCGGACGCCCUUUGUCAGAAUCAGUUUUGAACAAGCGGCAAGCAAGGCCGGUCACGUAAAAUGACAUUGAGGGCCAGAUUGGAGCUUGUCUUGGGUUGGACUUGGGAAACCAAAAGUCCACGGCGACACACCGAGGUAGAAGCUCGGCGAAGAACUCAUGAGUACUUUCAUCCACGCUGGCCGUUUGAGUGGUGUUCCCUGGACACAGGUGGAAGGAAGUCACAUUUAUGCGAGGAGACCCACGCUGUAGAUGAGACCAUGGAAGGACGUGUUGAACAGCAGGGGCUCGCCAGUCCCCCCAAACAGGAUCACGGCGGGACGAGGCUCCCCGGUGAUC